Molecule: ribosomal RNA, 468 nt
Filed under: uncultured bacterium
Lineage: Bacteria
Description: partial 16S ribosomal RNA
Rfam family: Bacterial small subunit ribosomal RNA
Source: RNAcentral
GACGAACGCUGGCGGCGUGCUUAACACAUGCAAGUCGAACGGAAAGGCCCUGCUUUUGUGGGGUGCUCGAGUGGCGAACGGGUGAGUAACACGUGAGUAACCUGCCCUUGACUUUGGGAUAACUUCAGGAAACUGGGGCUAAUACCGGAUAGGAGCGCCUGCUGCAUGGUGGGGGUUGGAAAGUUUCGGCGGUUGGGGCUGGACUCGCGGCUUAUCAGCUUGUUGGUGGGGUAGUGGCUUACCAAGGCUUUGACGGGUAGCCGGCCUGGGAGGGUGACCGGCCACAUUGGGACUGGGGUACGGGCCAGACUCCUACGGGAGGCAGCAGUGGGGAAUAUUGCACGAUGGGCGGAAGCCUGAUGCAGCAACGCCGCGUGCGGGAUGACGGCCUUCGGGUUGUAAACCGCUUUCGCCUGUGACGAAGCGUGAGUGACGGUAAUGGGUAAAGAAGCACCGGCUAACUACGUG